Molecule: long non-coding RNA, 2532 nt
Filed under: Solanum tuberosum (potato)
Lineage: Eukaryota; Viridiplantae; Streptophyta; Magnoliopsida; Solanales; Solanaceae
Description: long non-coding RNA (STUB_LNC005712)
Source: RNAcentral
CUUUUCUUUUUUUCUAUGAUUCGGUGUUAAUUCGUUGGUAUUUUGAGGCCUUAAUUGUUAUUGUUGAUCAAGAUACUGGCUAAUUGGUGUAUGAUCAAGAUUCUGGUAAUUAAUGUAUUGAUCAAGCUUCUGGGUAAUUGUUGUAUUGAUCAAGAUUUCGGCUAGUUGGUGUAUGAUCAAGAUUCUGGUAAUUAAUUUAUUGAUCAAGGACAAUGGGUAAGUAUUGUUGAUUAGGAUAUGGGUAAUAAUGUUUGAUCAGGAUAAUGGGUAAUUAUUGUUGAUUAAGAUAUGGGUGAUUACUGUUUGAGUAAUUAUUGUAUAAGAUUCGUUUCGGAAGAUUAGUCGAUGCCCCCUUCUGCAAUGAUUCCAUUCUUCCGCGCUUCGAAAAUUAUUUUUGAUGUGUCUGUAGUAGCCUAUGUGUUUGGUUUUUGAUUUCAUGGCCAUCUCAAAAUUAUAUAAAUCUUUCGAAUCUUUGGAACUCUUUGAUCAUCUCUUUAGAGAAGGAAUGUUAGGGGUUUAGGAAUUUAUUUUCACCAAUGUGUGUUGUAUUUUGCUGCCAUGAAGUUCUUUGUUUAGAUGCUUGUGUUCUUAUGGUGAUCCAAUUGAUAAGGUCUCUUAUGGUGAAGAGGUCUCUUACUCUCUUAUGGCUAUGGAUACAUGAUAAGUACUUUGACCAAUUCUAGAUCUUUGUAAAAUAAUUCUAAACUUUUGUUCUUUUAGCUAAUUAUCCAACUGCUUUCAUUUUUUUCGUUAUCACACUAGUUUUUUUGGUUGUAUGGAUAUGUAGACUGUUCUGGACGUUCAGAUUUGGAAAUUUCAAAGCUUGAUUAACCAACAUGUGAUCCUUUGCCUCCUUUUGGUCUUUUUGGUGCUUGCAUUGCAAUCUGGAUGUUUUCUGGGUUUUGACAAAAGGGAUUUUCAGUCUGGUCUAUGGCAUCUGUAGUGAUUACUUGGGUGGUUUGGGGUUCAUUAGGUUUUCUCUGAACAGUUCCCUUCUUUCUGUUCUUGCAGUCAUUGCUUACAGCGCAGUGAAUUCUUCUUUUCACAGAGCGACUGUGUUUUUUCGGUUUGCGUUGAGGUUUCUUUAGUCAAGUCUUUUACGAGUGUGGAGAUUUUCGAUUCUAUGGCCCUUGUCUUUUUUUAAAACUAGUGUUAUAUGGAAGUUUCUCAACUAGGACAUUAUUUUUCACCAGUGUGUGUUGUAUUUUGCUGUCAUGAAGUUUAGUCCAGAAGCUUAUGUUCUUUGAUCAUCCUAUUUAUGAGGUCUUCUAUGGCUAUGGACCCUUGAUAAGUACUCAUCCAAUUCUAGAUCUCAUUUGAUAGUAACGUAAAAUACUUCUUUACUUUUAUUCUCUAGCUACUAACUUAUCUUAUCUGCUUCCUUAUAUUUUUCGUUAUCAUACUGGUUUGUUUUGGCUGGAUGGAUGUGUAGUAGACUAUGUGGUGACACUAUUAUGGACGUUCAGAUUUGGAAAUUUCAAAGCUUGGUUUACCAACAAGUGAUCCUCUGCCACCUUUUGGUCUAUUUUGUGCUUGCACAACAAUCUGGAUUUUGUCUGGGCUUUCUGUCUCGUCUAUGGCAUCUCUAGUGAUUACUUAGGUGAUUUUGGGUUAGUCAGAUUUGCCCUUAACUUUUCCUUUCUUUCUGUUCAUGCAGCCUUGUUUGCCCCUUUGUGUUGAGGUUUCUUUAGUUUAAGUUUUUAUGAGUAUUAAGAUUUUCAAUUCAGUUUUCUCAGGAGUUUCUCGACUAAGAUAAUAUUUUUCACUAGUGUGUGUUGUUGUUCUGCUGCCAUGAAGUUUUUAAUCUAGACACUAUGUUCUUCGAUGAUCCAAUUGAUAAGGUCUCCUAUGGCUAUGGACACUUGAUAAGUACUCAGCCAAUUUCGGAUCCUCUCUUUAGACAGUGCCAUAAUGCUCCUCUACAUCUGGUCUUCUAGCUACAGAUACUUUGGUUAUCACAACUAGUUUUUUUUGUUGGAUGGAUGUGUAGACUGUAUGGUGACAGUAGUAGAGGUUAAUAUAUUUCAAAGGUUGAUAUCCAGUAUGGUAUCUUGUACCCUCUUGGUCUUUUUGGUUCUUGCACUGCAAUUUGGAUAUAUUGGUCAGGGCUUCAACAAAAUGGGAGUUUUAAAUCUGUCCAUAUGGCGUCUCUAGUGAUUUCUUAGAUGGUAUGGGUUUCAUCAUCUUUGGACUUGAUUGUACCCUUCUUUUUGUUCUUGCAGCCAUUGGGUCUUACGGAGCAAUGAAUUAUUCUUUUCAUGGAGCAGCUUUCUUUGUCCAUUUAUAACGAGGUUUCCGUGAUUCAAGCUUUUAUGAGUUCUGACUUUUCCAACUAAAAGACUUUUUUUUCGUUACUCUGUGUUGUAUUCUAGUCUAUGUUGCGCGGACUCUUCAUUUUUGCGGCCGAACCCGUCUCGACGCGACACUGGUGCGGGCGCGGGUGCGGGGUGCGUGUCGGAUUCGGUCAAUCCGAUCCAAAUACUUUGACCAAAGCCGAGAAAAAAAAUGGGGAAGAAGAGAUCAAUUUCAUGG